CGCUGCAUUUUAAAACACUGGAUGAAUUGGUUGUGGAACUGUGAACUGUGCUGUUCAACUUUUUUGUUGAGAUGGAGAAGGUGAAUCAGAGUCAGUCUGCUUGCAGGAGGAGAAUCUAUUGUCAGCAACUUAGACCGCAACGUGCAAUGUCUGGAAGCAACACCAUCAUGGGCAGCUGAGUCUGAUUACCGCUUAAUGUUGAAUAUACUUGUGUGUACAGUAUAUGGUAAUGUUUGAAUAAAUGUUAUAAU
Long non-coding RNA from Etheostoma cragini (Arkansas darter), 251 nucleotides. RefSeq lists it as uncharacterized. NCBI's taxonomy places the organism in Eukaryota, Metazoa, Chordata, Actinopteri, Perciformes, Percidae. The record is from RefSeq and is a predicted model, not a curated record. The transcript has 2 exons.